UUUUUUAUAAAUUACUAAUAUGAUUUUUUUUGUCUAAAGGGGGCAAUUGAAAUUUCCAAGUAGUACGGGUGAAAAAUUCCAUCGGUCGAGAUUUUAUCGAAAAUUAAAACUAAAAAAUAUUUUUUCAAGGGUGUGGUAAAUGUGAGUAGGGGUCCGCCCCUGCAAGAUAUAACCCUUGAAUGUAAAGAAGAAGUUAAGGUGAUAUAGUAUCUCAUUGAAAUAUGUAUUGUUAUUUUUUUAGUGAACUUUCUAAGACAUUUAACUUGAUUAUUUUGUAAUUAUGAUGUUUGGAGAAAGUGUUAAACCUGACCUCACGUGUCAGGGACCAAGAACAAACACUACACGUGAGGAUUCAAGAGAGUAAAAGAAAUAUAUAAAAAAUUUUGCAUUUCGCAUGGCUGACCAAAACAACACAUCCAUUCAGCCUUAAAUGCCAGCAGCCCGUGGGCGGACCUACUUUAUGGCCAAGUGGCUAAAAUCAACGAAAUAUGGUCAAACUUAUGGAAAACACAACGCUCCAUAAUUCUACACCACAAAAGCUUUGGUUUAAAAGUUUAAGUUAAUUAUUUGAAAGUGAAGAGGCAGGUUUGAUUCUCGUUUGUGUCAUUUUCACCGGACAUCUAGGUGAAGGGACGGAUCUAGGCUU
This 646-nucleotide long non-coding RNA is filed under the name Helianthus annuus (common sunflower). Its description in RNAcentral is "hypothetical non coding rna". Lineage: Eukaryota; Viridiplantae; Streptophyta; Magnoliopsida; Asterales; Asteraceae. The record is from RNAcentral.